AUGGUGGAGCAGAAUAAGGUGGUGUUGGAGAAUAAGACGUUCAUCCACCAACCAGUGCUUGCACCACACGCCAAGGGGUUUUGGACCCCUGAUGAGCACAGGCUCUUUCUCCAUGGCUUGAGCGUAUGUGGCCGUGGCAAAUGGAAGGACAUCUCAAAGCACUUCGUCACUAGUAGGACUCCGACCCAGAUUUCAAGCCAUGCACAGAAGUACUUCAUGAGGCUAAAGAGCAAAGGGUCAGGAAGCCAACGCUACAGCAUCAACGACGUGGAGCUCGAUGAUGCUAACCCAUGGAAAAUGGAGAAUAGCUUUAACUUCUGGCAAGCACUUGCCUUGCAAUCUACAAUUGGUGCUGAUAACCAAAAUCCAAGCUUCAAUCUACAGACUCCUUCGAGUCCAUUUGUCACCAUGAACAAUAUACCCUAG
This 426-nucleotide ribosomal RNA is filed under the name Triticum aestivum (bread wheat). Its description in RNAcentral is "partial small subunit ribosomal RNA". Lineage: Eukaryota; Viridiplantae; Streptophyta; Magnoliopsida; Poales; Poaceae. The record is from RNAcentral.